AGCAGCCGCGGUAAUUCCAGCUCCAAUAGCGUAUAUUAAAGCUGUUGCAGUUAAAAAGCUCGUAGUUGAAUUUCGGGGUUAGUAGGUUGGUCAUGCCUCUGGUAUGUACUGGUCUCACUGAUUCCUCCUUCCUGAUGAACCUUAAUGCCAUUAAUUUGGUGUUUUGGGGAAUUUGGACUGUUACUUUGAAAAAAUUAGAGUGUUUAAAGCAAGCUAACGCUUGAAUACAUUAGUAUGGAAUAAUGAAAUAGGACGUUCGAUCCUAUUUUGUUGGUUUCUAGGAUUGACGUAAUGAUUAAUAGGGAUAGUUGGGGGCAUUAGUAUUCAAUUGUCAGAGGUGAAAUUCUUGGAUUUAUUGAAGACUAACUACUGCGAAAGCAUUUGCCAAGGAUGUUUUCAUUAAUCAAGAACGAAAGUUAGGGGAUCGAAGACGAUCAGAUACCGUCGUAGUCUUAACCAUAAACUAUGCCGACUAGGGAUCGGAUGAUGUUAAUUUUUAAUGACUCAUUCGGCGCCUUAC
This 520-nucleotide ribosomal RNA is filed under the name uncultured Glomus. RNAcentral's name for it is "SSU rRNA". It matches the Rfam family "Eukaryotic small subunit ribosomal RNA", at positions 569 to 1091 of the family's 1831-position model. Lineage: Eukaryota; Fungi; Glomeromycota; Glomeromycetes; Glomerales; Glomeraceae. The record is from RNAcentral.